AUCGGGUUGUCUUCGGUUUUUGUGUUUCCUAAUUUUUUUUUUAUCUUCAUUUGCAUGAAAGGGGGGUAUCUGUAGUCAUUUGCUAUUGAACUGGAAGUAUUUAUCUAAUGGAUAUAUAUAUAAAAAGGAUUAAUUAGUGAGGGACUUUUAUAUAUGGGAUGGAAAUCGAAGGAGUCUACAGAAAUAAAACUUUUGAAAAUAUUAGGUUAUUUAAACGCUUAAUCGGUGAACUAACGAAUGUAAACAGUAAUAUGGUUCAUUCACAAGACUGUAUAAAAGUUUUGGUAGGAAACGAAAUUCGUUUGGUUCCGUGCUCUGAAUUCAGUUUUAAAUGAAUGUGUUGACCUUUGACGUUUUUCAUAAAAAUAGCACACAAUACAAAGUGCCGACAGGUCGUAGGGUUGGAUGUAGUGAAGUAGCAUUUUAACCAGUUAUGGAAUUUUGAGUUCCUUCACUUAAAACAUGUGGAAUAGAUAACCUUCGUAAACCGAUUUCGCGGCGAUGGAUGAACUAAUAUUCCAUGCAUCGCAGAGAUUAGAAGCCCUUCAGAUUCGACUCUUGUGCAGCGUCCAGAACUUCCGAAACAGUGUGCAGGUGUAUUCUGAACAAAUUCAGAAUGCAGUAGUGGAAGCAUUAAAUAGCCCGCGAGGACUUUAUGUGCAGGAGGGGCUACAUAACACUUGGGCCGCUGUUCUGAGAGUUGGAAACGACGUUAAAAGUGUAGCGAAUCGAGAAUACAUAUACGAUGUGUAUACCCGUGUACUUCGAAUCGUACUUUCUGAUGCAUAUGACUUGAAUGUGUAUUAUAGCUGCCUAUUCUUUGUGGUUGGAGGAGCUCUUGGCUUUACUAUUGGACUAUCAUGGAGGAGGACACCACAAUCUUCUCAGAGGAUGAAGGCAAUAGGCUGCAGUUAUUAUGGGGGAAUAGAUGCUGUUCAGCUGCUUGAUGAUGUGCCUAUCCCAUCUGUAAAGAAACCUGAUGAACUUUUGAUACAAGUGAAGGCAGCUUCUUUAGAUCCUGUUGAUAUUCUUAUAUGUUCUGGCUAUGGAAGAGUGCUGCGUAGACUACUCCACAGGUAUAAUAGUAAUGUGAAACAAGAAUUUCCAAUUGUAUUGGGUAGAGACUGUGCCGGCAUUGUCAUAGAAAUUGGUCAGAAGGUCAAUCACUUUGAUAUUGGUGAUGAAGUAUGGUUUUCUAUUCCAUACUGGCUCUCUGGAACUCUUGCUGAGUAUGUUGUUAUAACAGAAAACUUAAUAGCUAAAAAGCCUAAGGGAAUCAGAUUUGAAGUUGCAGCAAGUGUCCCAUAUUCAGGAAUGAUUGCAUGGAAUGCAGUUGUUUCUCAGGCUCAUCUGAAUUCCGUAGCUGCUAGUGGGAAAAGAAUAUUGGUCCAUACUGGAUGUACAGCUGUUGGAGUGAUAAUACUGCAGCUUGCACGUCUGUGGGGUGUUCAUGUAACUGUGACUUGUCCACACAGGGCAAUACCAGUUGCGCAAGCUUUAGGUGCAGACUGUAUUGUUUCUGACCAGCAGCCAGAUGUUGAGAAGCAGCUUUCAGAACAUGAUAGGUUUGAUUUUGUCUUCAAUACAGUUGGACAUGCAGCUGAUGAUCUGUGCCUAAAAUUUUGCAAAGAUGAUGGCCUUGUUAUAACAACUGUAGCAAGCCCAUUAGCUGCUGACAACUAUGGGCUCAUUUUUCGAUUGUUGUACAGCCUCUGGGUUCGCUUAAAAUGCUUUUUUAGGGUCUGUGUUGGGGCUAAUGCUUGGAGUUUAAUGGAUGAAUCUCUUGUACCACUGAAUGAAUUAGGAAAAUUAGUAGAAGAUGGAAGUCUGCAGCCAGUUGUGGACAAAAUAUUUUCACCUCAGGAUGCAGAACUUGCCUUCCAGCAUGCUGACUCUUGUGAUGCAGUUGGAAAGACAAUAAUAAGGUUCAGAUACAUCCUUCAGGGGCUUUAACUUCAUUUACUGAAAAGUCUAUCCAGUAGGACAACAAAGACUGGAAGUAUGCAAAAUAAAUUACCAUAUUUUAUGCAGUUUAAGAAAUUUGACAGAUACUGAUCUCCAAAUGGCUGUACAUGUGGAGCUUAUGCACCCUAGUGAGCAGAUGAUCCUGGAUGAUGCAAGAUUGUAUUUAUCAUUUGAAAUCCAUGUGUCACCAUUUGAUGAACUACAGUAUUGAUUUCUCAAUAGUCAUAUAAAUGCAACUGCAUUUGCAUUAAUUUGCAGGGCAUUUAUUGUUUCAGUAUCACCAUUUACUAUUUAAUUUUGUUAAUAUGUGUAUAAUGGGCUGAUAUUAGAUGGUGUUUGUAUUGGUUUGUAGUAAUUGACAGUAUGCUGAUUUUGCAUGGUGUAUUGUAAUCUGUUACUUUUAAAUGUUACACUGAACCACACUAUGGUGCUUUGCUGUUUUCUUCCUUUACAUUCAACUAAAACCAUUGAACUAAAUGUUGGUGCAUUCAGUGAGAACUUUCUUCAUUCUUUGGAGUGUCUUACUCUCAGGUGGCUACUCAUUCAUUAAAAAUUUUAAGAGAGUAAAAAGUUGUUUUAUGGAGAUGUUUUUUCAUCUAAGUCCCCAGGACUGUCAACAAAUUGACUCAAAUAUACUACUCUGGAUUUCAGAAAAACAGGAUAUUUAUUUUAUUUGAAAUUGGGUUUCUUAUUUGUAUAUCACUGUAUUGCAUUUUGCAUGAAAUGGGAAUAAGAGUGUGUUAAACUUUAAGAAGACUAUCAAAUAAACUUUUAUUAUUUUUAUUUAUUUUGUCACAUCAAUAGCUUCUUGUCAUCUUACUGCAACAAGACACUGAUCUGUUUCUUUGAUUUGAAGGUGAGAAAAAAUGAAAUAAAAGAAAACAGAGCUUUCACUAUAAAUCAUUACUGUGUGACUUCACUGUAGAAUUAUUUGAGAAUUUUUUAAUGAUAUUACAGGCUGUUAUUUAUGUUUCUGCUGUUGCUACCAACAGAAAAGGUUUUCAGUGGUCAUCUUGCAUGAGCGCUUUGUGAUAGAACAGGAAAUUUUUAUUCAUAUGGCGCAAUGUUUCACAGUUAGCUGUCUUUCGGACCAAAGUCUGUUUAAUUUUUGAUACUACAUUGCAGUUAUUACUCAGCAGUUUGUGUGCUUGUAGAAAUGUAAUCAAUAAGGCAAAAGAUCUACUAUGCAGUUACAUAAUGUUACAACAACAAAUCUUUGAGAUAUUUGGUUUGAGACAGUUCUGCAUUAACUCUGAGAACUAAAAGUUGUUGUUAAGCUGAGGCUAAUCUUAAUUGAUUAAUUGUGCUAACAAUUAAGUGGCAGGAUAUAGUGUUACCACUUAUAAGAUCAAAUGAUUUCAAGGUGCCGAUUAAUAAACUAGCAGAGACCUGCAGUGUGUGACAAUAAAGCUUUAAAACUGUUUUAUUGUAUGAAAGCUAGCAGUUCGUAGGAGGGUAAUUAAGAAAGGAUGAUCUUACACAGUUUUAAUACUGGUAUAUAGCACUAAUAAAAUGAAUAUAGUGCCUUACAGUACAAAUAUUUUGUUAAGUGUUAAAAUACAUUGUUAAUGCAUAUAUUUUUUGAAAUAUGUAGCAAUUACAAAUAAAUCAGAGAUGUUUUCAGAUUUUA
Molecule: unclassified non-coding RNA, 3595 nt
Filed under: Schistocerca americana (American grasshopper)
Lineage: Eukaryota; Metazoa; Arthropoda; Insecta; Orthoptera; Acrididae
Description: reticulon-4-interacting protein 1 homolog, mitochondrial-like, transcript variant X1
Source: RNAcentral